CGGGCCCUGGAGAGCCGGGUGUCGCCGGGACGCCGGGGAUGCCGCCUGAGUCGCCGAGACAGCCCAAUCUAGCACUGCCGAAACAGAUUUGACAGCAUGCACAUCUGGGGCCCACACGCCACACUCUGAGAUUUGAAUGUUUGUCACACUUCCUAAUUUUUUAAUAAUGAAAAUGAUUUCAGGAAAUAAUGAAGAUAGAGCCAGCUAAAUCUGAGCACAGACUGGGUGGGAAGGAGAAGGAAAAAAUCGGACCAGUUAUGCUUUAUUCUGUGACCUCAGGAGGUGAAGUCGGUUUGCUGAUAAGUGGUCAUUCUGACAAACAGUACGGUGCGGCCUAG
Molecule: long non-coding RNA, 338 nt
Filed under: Urocitellus parryii (Arctic ground squirrel)
Lineage: Eukaryota; Metazoa; Chordata; Mammalia; Rodentia; Sciuridae
Description: lncRNA (ENSUPAG00010015874.1)
Source: RNAcentral